UACAGAGGGUGCGAGCGUUAAUCGGAAUUACUGGGCGUAAAGCGUGCGUAGCCGGUUAUGUAAGUCAGGUGUGAAAGCCCCGGGCUCAACCUGGGAAUUGCAUUUGAGACUGCAUAGCUAGGGUGCGGAAGAGGGAAGCGGAAUUUCCGGUGUAGCGGUGAAAUGCGUAGAUAUCGGAAGGAACAUCAGUGGCGAAAGCGGCUUCCUGGUCCAGCACCGACGUUCAGGCACGAAAGCGUGGGGAGCAAACAGG
This 253-nucleotide ribosomal RNA is filed under the name uncultured bacterium. RNAcentral describes it as "partial 16S ribosomal RNA". It matches the Rfam family "Bacterial small subunit ribosomal RNA", at positions 524 to 776 of the family's 1533-position model. The record is from RNAcentral.